RNAcentral lists this small RNA (208 nucleotides) under Pelobates cultripes (western spadefoot toad). The record is from RNAcentral. Lineage: Eukaryota; Metazoa; Chordata; Amphibia; Anura; Pelobatidae.
GUGAGGAAGGGGGUGACUAGUGACAGAGGGAGGGGUGACUAGGGACAGAGUGAGGGAGGUGGUGACUAGUGACUAGUGACAGUUACCACCUCCCUCACUCUGUCACUAGUCACCCCCUCCCUCACUCUGUCACUGUGUCACCCCCUCCCUCACUCUGUCACUGUGUCACCCCCUCCCUCUGUCACUGGUCACCCACUCCCUCCCUCAC